CUGAGUCAGUAUAUGCGCAAUAUGUACUUUAUUAGGUUCACAGAGAUAAUUUCAAUUUUAUUAAAUUUCAGAUAUUUCUUAGCAUAAGGAGAAAAGGUUCACAAAAUUUACUUAGAACAAUGGGACUUGUGAUUGCACAACAUUUUCUUCUGUAGUUGGUUUACAAUUGAUGCAACAACAUAGAGCUACAAAAGCAGUAACAUAAUAGCCAGCACAAUCAACAACGUCAAAAAGCUGAGCUUAUUAAAUGGUUUUUUUUUUUCAUUUUUAGAUUCAUGUCAAUUGAACUUCCAAGGUCUCUUA
Molecule: unclassified non-coding RNA, 303 nt
Filed under: Hevea brasiliensis (rubber tree)
Lineage: Eukaryota; Viridiplantae; Streptophyta; Magnoliopsida; Malpighiales; Euphorbiaceae
Source: RNAcentral